GGAGGAAUAUUGGUCAAUGGACGAGAGUCUGAACCAGCCAAGUCGCGUGAAGGAUGACUGCCCUACGGGUUGUAAACUUCUUUUGUAUGGGAGUAAAAAAGUGGACGUGUCCAUUAUUGCAAGUACCAUACGAAUAAGCAUCGGCUAACUCCGUGCCAGCAGCCGCGGUAAUACGGAGGAUGCGAGCGUUAUCCGGAUUUAUUGGGUUUAAAGGGUGCGUAGGCGGGAUAAUAAGUCAGCGGUGAAAGUUUGAGGCUCAACCUUAAAAUUGCCGUUGAAACUGUUUUCUUGAGUAUAUUUGAAGUAGGCGGAAUUCGUGGUGUAGCGGUGAAAUGCAUAGAUAUCACGAAGAACUCCAAUUGCGAAGGCAGCUUACUAAACUAUAACUGACGCUGAAGCA
RNAcentral lists this ribosomal RNA (400 nucleotides) under uncultured bacterium. Its description in RNAcentral is "bacterial SSU rRNA". It matches the Rfam family "Bacterial small subunit ribosomal RNA", at positions 355 to 753 of the family's 1533-position model. The record is from RNAcentral.